GUACCCGUAGCUCAGCUGGAUAGAGCGUUGGUUUGCGGUACCAGAGGCCGCAGGUUCAAAUCCUGCCGGGUACACCA
RNAcentral lists this transfer RNA (77 nucleotides) under Candidatus Saccharimonadota bacterium. RNAcentral describes it as "tRNA-Arg". It matches the Rfam family "tRNA". From Rfam's summary of the family: Transfer RNA (tRNA) molecules are approximately 80 nucleotides in length. Their secondary structure includes four short double-helical elements and three loops (D, anti-codon, and T loops). Further hydrogen bonds mediate the characteristic L-shaped molecular structure. tRNAs have two regions of fundamental functional importance: the anti-codon, which is responsible for specific mRNA codon recognition, and the 3' end, to which the tRNAs corresponding amino acid is attached (by aminoacyl-tRNA synthetases). tRNAs cope with the degeneracy of the genetic code in two manners: having more than one tRNA (with a specific anti-codon) for a particular amino acid; and 'wobble' base-pairing, i.e. permitting non-standard base-pairing at the 3rd anti-codon position. The record is from RNAcentral. RNAcentral also lists the same sequence under 1 other name. Lineage: Bacteria; Candidatus Saccharimonadota.